This 497-nucleotide ribosomal RNA is filed under the name uncultured bacterium. Its description in RNAcentral is "partial 16S ribosomal RNA". It matches the Rfam family "Bacterial small subunit ribosomal RNA", at positions 30 to 523 of the family's 1533-position model. The record is from RNAcentral.
AUUGAACGCUGGCGGCAUGCCUUACACAUGCAAGUCGAACGGUAACAGGUCUUCGGAUGCUGACGAGUGGCGAACGGGUGAGUAAUACAUCGAAACGUGCCCAGUCGUGGGGGAUAACGAAGCGAAAGCUUUGCUAAUACCGCAUACGAUCUACGGAUGAAAGCGGGGAUCGCAAGACCUCGCGCGAUUGGAGCGGCCGAGGGCAGAUUAGGUAGUUGGUGGGGUAAAGGCUUACCAAGCCUACGAUCUGUAGCUGGUCUGAGAGGACGACCAGCCACACUGGGACUGAGACACGGCCCAGACUCCUACGGGAGGCAGCAGUGGGGAAUUUUGGACAAUGGGCGCAAGCCUGAUCCAGCAAUGCCGCGUGCAGGAUGAAGGCCUUCGGGUUGUAAACUGCUUUUGUACGGAACGAAAAGCUCUGGGUUAAUACCCUGGGGUCAUGACGGUACCGUAAGAAUAAGCACCGGCUAACUACGUGCCAGCCGCCGCCGUAA